GUGGGGAAGUUCCCGCUGAGGCAGCUAUUGCCUUACCGCAGUGGAUUUCCCGCCAGAAAUUCUCUGCCUCCGUGUAUAUAAUGCAGAGGGUCCCUUGCCGGUCAGUCCAGUUAUUAGGGUGAGUCCUGUGAUAAGGUACACACCGGAGAGGAAGUAGUACAGGUGCAGAAAGAAGAGAUAGAGAGAACACGGUCAUCAUUACACAAGAUGCAUCUUGCCCUUGUACUUCUGGCUGCUCUCGCACUUCUAGAGAGAUCCGAUGCUUGGGGGACCAACCAGCAGAAGAAAUAUUAUUACUAUUCUCCGCCUCGCCCCUACGGUUUCCCACAGGGAGCAAGCUAUGGUUCAUUCAGUAGGCCUACUUUUGGAGUGAGCGGAUUUCAUUCGCCCAGCGCCCCGACAGCACUGGGGGGCGGAGGAUUCCACGGAAGCAGUUUUGGUGGGCAGCCAGGAUUUGCAGGAGGCAAUGUCGGGGUCGGAAGUUUCAACUCUGGAUUUGGAAGUUUUCCUGGAGGUAACAUUGGAAGCGCUGGUGGUUUUCCUGGAAGUACCAUUGGAGGUGGCCAGGUAUUCCCUGGGAAUAUUGGAGGUUCUGGCGGACUCCCGGGAAAUAAUGCUGGCGGCUCUGGAUCUCAGAUACAGGGUGUAGGUGAUGGGGAUCUCGCUGGCAAAGUUGAUGUAAGAAUACAAAAAUAAUAUUCUCUCUCUCUCUCUCUCUCUCUCUCUCUCUCUCUCUCUCUCUCUCUCUCUCUCUCUCUCAGAAGAAGAAGAAUUUGCAUUGCAGCCUUUUAUCAAUAAAAAUUCGAUGUAUCUCACUUGUUAAUCACCGCAUUGUACAGUCUUGUUAUUACAAAACAAUAAAGGUGAACUGUUU
Molecule: long non-coding RNA, 874 nt
Organism: Macrobrachium nipponense
Lineage: Eukaryota; Metazoa; Arthropoda; Malacostraca; Decapoda; Palaemonidae
Exons: 2
Source: RefSeq, a predicted model, not a curated record